CCUACGGGUGGCAGCAGUAGGGAAUAUUGCUCAAUGGGGGAAACCCUGAAGCAGCAACGCCGCGUGGAGGAUGAAGGUUUUAGGAUUGUAAACUUCUUUUGUUAGAGAAGAUUAUGACGGUAUCUAACGAAUAUGCACCGUCUAAAUACGUGCCCGCAGCCGCGGUAAUACGGAGGGUGCAAGCGUUACGCGGAAUCACUGGGCGUAAAGGGUGCGUAGGUGGGGUAAUAAGUAAGAUGUGAAAUCCUGUGGCUUAACUCAAGAACUGCAUUUGAAACUGUUUAUCUGGAGUGUGGGAGAGGUAGGUGGAAGUCUAGGUGUAGCGGUGAAAUGCGUAGAGAUCAGGAGGAAUACAGAUUGCGAAGGCGGCCUGCUGGAACGUUACUGACGCUGAGGCACGAAAGCGUGGGGAGCAAACAGGAUUAGAUACCCCAGUAGUC
Molecule: ribosomal RNA, 440 nt
Filed under: uncultured bacterium
Lineage: Bacteria
Description: partial 16S ribosomal RNA
Rfam family: Bacterial small subunit ribosomal RNA
Source: RNAcentral